GGGAAUCCGGUGCAAGUCCGGAACUGUCCCGCAACGGUGUACUGGUGCGCGUUCGUGUACCCGUAAGUCCGAGGACC
RNAcentral lists this non-coding RNA (77 nucleotides) under Streptomyces sp. The record is from RNAcentral. Lineage: Bacteria; Bacillati; Actinomycetota; Actinomycetes; Kitasatosporales; Streptomycetaceae.